RNAcentral lists this long non-coding RNA (253 nucleotides) under Anser cygnoides (Swan goose). Its description in RNAcentral is "lncRNA (ENSACDG00005000512.1)". Lineage: Eukaryota; Metazoa; Chordata; Aves; Anseriformes; Anatidae. The record is from RNAcentral.
CUGGCUGUAAAAUAGGCUAAUUUACCAAGCUCACAUUAAGAGCCUUUUUUGGGUCAUAUUUCAGUACAGCUGGAUUGUGUUGUUGGCACAACUCUAAAUAUAGAUCAAUCUGCAAAUUGCUUGCUCCUGAAAUUGGUUCAAAGAAGUAUUCCGAGCCAGAUGUACAGCUAAUACAUGGGACGGUGAAUCCCAGCCCUCCUGGAGUAAGGUCUGUGUCUUUAAGAAGAGACUCUCUAGUACUCCUCCAUAAACC